Molecule: long non-coding RNA, 1493 nt
Filed under: Homo sapiens (human)
Lineage: Eukaryota; Metazoa; Chordata; Mammalia; Primates; Hominidae
Description: HSALNT0309809
Source: RNAcentral
CAGCCAACAGCGUUCCUUUGUCCCCACAGCAACAGGGUCCUGCACUCCUGUUUCCAGGGAAACCCAGCUCUCAGCGUCCCGGUUGCCACAGCAAUGCCUACGGGCUCAGCUGGCCAUACUGUCUUACCCACAGGGCAAGAGCAACUGGGUGCCCAGGCUCGGGACACAAGACUGCAGAGCCAGGUGCCACACAGGUGUGGGGCCCGUGGACCAAGGAAGACCCUGGCCAGUUGGAGGAGAACUGCCAGGUAGCAAAGCCCAGACUUCUCUGGGGUCCUGCGCUCUGGGCUGCAAUGAGCUCUGCCUCCAGUGAGCCUGGCAAUGGGGACGCCUCCCAACAGCCCCUACUGGGGCUGGACACCGUGAUCCAGCUGCUCUCCCCUCCUUUGGAAGCCCCCCAGCAACCUCUGCACAGCACCCCAGAAUGCCCCCACCCUGGAGCUGGAAUUGGAUGUAAAGGGGCAGGCUUGGAAACUCUCAACCUCUGUCCCUGGGGUGAGCAAGUCGGACUUGGGGAGUGCAAAGCCCCCUGAAAUUGCCCGUGAAGUGGGGGGUAUCUGUGACUGCCUUGAGGGGUGGGGGUGUGCCCUUCCUCGGAAUCUCCAGCACCCAGACCCGCAGCUGAUGGAGAAGCAUGGCGCAGAGUCCCGGACGAGGAACCCAGCACAGAAAGCCCAGUCCCCUCAGAGCUGGGGGCUCCUCAGACUCCCGUUCCUUGGCUUGAAUUUUGAUUUGUGCUAUUUUUCUAGGAAAUUGUCCAUUACAUCCAAAUUUUCAAGUUGUUGAAAUUGGCAAAAGUUGUUCACAAUAUCUUCUUCCUGUCUUUUGGAUGUCUGCAGGAUCCGUGGGGUAACCAGCUGUCCCUCUUUGCUGAGGGGCUCGAGACAGGGGUUUCCCAGGACUCCAGACAGCCUUGGGUCUGGAACCCCAGUCCUGGGCACAGUGGGGAGGAAGUGGUUGCCCCGAAGUGGCAUCCCCUUUCUCGUUUCUGAUACUAGCCGCGUACCGGCUCAUAGUAUUCUUAUCUUGUGUUUCAUUAACCUACAUAUGCAUUCUUCCUUUAACCUGCAUAUGCAUUCUUCCUUCGCUUUCAGUUUCUCUGGGUUUGUUCUUCAUCUCACUUCUGGAAAUAUGUGCUUGACUCAUUGAUUGUUCAGCCUUUUUAAAAAUUUCUUUUUUUCUGGCCGGGUGCAGUGACUCACACCUGUAAUCCCAGCACUUUGGGAGGCUAAGGCGGGCGGAUCGCUUGAGGUCAGGAGUUUGAGACCAGCCUGGCCAACAUGGUGAAACCCCGUCUCUACUGAAAAUACAAAAAUUAGCCAGGCAUGAUGGCAGGCGCCUGUAAUCCCAGCUACUCAGGAGGCUGAGGCAGGAGAAUCGCUUGAACCCAGGAGGUGGAGGUAACAGUGAGCCAAGAUCGCACCACUGUACUCCAGCCUGGGAGACAGAGCGAGACCCUGUCUCAAAAAAAAUAAAAUAAAUUUUUAAAAAAA